Girardinichthys multiradiatus is the source of this 447-nucleotide long non-coding RNA. RefSeq lists it as uncharacterized. NCBI's taxonomy places the organism in Eukaryota, Metazoa, Chordata, Actinopteri, Cyprinodontiformes, Goodeidae. The record is from RefSeq and is a predicted model, not a curated record. The transcript has 3 exons.
CGCUACUGCGCCAGGUCAAGGUUUAGGAAGGAUGGUGGAGUUUCUUUAACUUCAUUCACCUUUUCUAUAAGCUUUAAGUAUAUACUGGGCAUUGGAAGCAUCGAUGGAGGAACAUUUCCCCAUACAGUGUUUGGUCCAUAUUCUAAGGACCUUCAUGGUUCUUGGUGCCUCCAUCUUGCCCAUCUCCUCCUUAACAUUCAUGUGGACACACCGUGAAUAUGAUUAUCUUCACAUGGGCAGUUUUUGAGUUUGGCUCCUCAAAGUAAACAGUCAGAUCCUUUCUGCAUUUAAGGUGAAUUGAGGGGACACUCUGCAGGACAUCAUAUACCACCGCCAUGCCUCUGGAGUCGAUGAAUAUUUGGCUUGAGACAUUAUCCAGCAGUCAUCGAAGGCUUUGGUAAUGCCACACGGCCUGAUGCUGCCAAAAACGCCAUGUUAAAAAAGUUG